UGAAGCGAAAGUAAAAUUUCGUGGAGGUCCGAACCCACGAGCGUUGAAAAGCUCGGGGAUGACUUGUGGGUAGCGGUGAAAUUCCAAUCGAGCCCGGAGAUAGCUGGUUCUCCCCGAAAUAGCUUUAGGGCUAGCCUCAAGGUGAGAGAUACGGAGGUAGAGCACUGAAUGUCCUAGGGGGUAUUGCACCUACCGAAGACUAUCAAACUCCGAAUGCCGUCAUCUUAUACUUGGGAGUCAGACUGUGGGUGAUAAGAUUCAUAGUCGAAAGGGCAACAGCCCAGAUCGUCAGCUAAGGUCCCUAAAUGUAAGUUAAGUGGUAAAGGAUGUGGGAUUGCACAGACAACCAGGAUGUUGGCUUAGAAGCAGCCACUCAUUCAAAGAGUGCGUAAUAGCUCACUGGUCGAGUGAUCCUGCGCCGAAGAUUUCCGGGGCUAAAACUUACUACCGAAGCUACGGCAUCAGUAAUGAUGGGUAGGGGAGCUUCCCAUACGGGUUGAAGCAUGACCGUAAGGACAUGUGGACAGUAUGGGAGUGAGAAUGUUGGCAUGAGUAGCGAGAUGUGGGUGAGAAUCCCACAGGCCGUAAACCCAAGGUUUCCAGGGGAAGGUUCGUCCGCCCUGGGUUAGUCGGGACCUAAGCUGAGGCCGAAAGGCGUAGGUGAUGGACAACAGGUUGAUAUUCCUGUACUACCGAUAACCGUUUGAGAGA
RNAcentral lists this ribosomal RNA (711 nucleotides) under Clostridioides difficile. Its description in RNAcentral is "bacterial LSU rRNA". It matches the Rfam family "Bacterial large subunit ribosomal RNA", at positions 746 to 1465 of the family's 2925-position model. The record is from RNAcentral. Lineage: Bacteria; Bacillati; Bacillota; Clostridia; Peptostreptococcales; Peptostreptococcaceae.